UACGAAGGGGGCAAGCGUUGUUCGGAAUUACUGGGCGUAAAGCGCACGUAGGCGGAUUAGUAAGUCAGGGGUGAAAUCCCGGGGCUCAACCUCGGAACUGCAUUUGAUACUGGUGAUCUUGAGUCCGGAAGAGGUAAGUGGAAUUCCUAGUGUAGAGGUGAAAUUCGUAGAUAUUAGGAAGAACACCAGUGGCGAAGGCGGCUCACUGGUCCGGUACUGACGCUGAGGUGCGAAAGCGUGGGGAGCAAACAGG
Molecule: ribosomal RNA, 253 nt
Filed under: uncultured bacterium
Lineage: Bacteria
Description: partial 16S ribosomal RNA
Rfam family: Bacterial small subunit ribosomal RNA
Source: RNAcentral